AGAAUUCCGGGAACCUAUGUAUGGAGAUUUCUACACUUCCUGGAUUUGUGUCUGGCUGCCAGCUGUAGUGUUUUGGAGGAAGAAGCUGAGUCGGCAGGGCAUCCCUAGGAGUGAGGCCGGUGUUCACUUCUAGUCCACAACACUAGAUUAUUAAUAAUGAAUUGCUUGAUGUCCCCGAAGACUUCUAGAACAAGAAAACCGUUUGCCACAUUCCACACACUUAUAUGGACUGUCUUCAGAAUGGAUUAUUUGAUGUCGUCUAAAAAACAAGUAUGAAUAAAAACAUCUGCCACAUUCCUCACA
This is a non-coding RNA of Peromyscus maniculatus bairdii (prairie deer mouse), 303 nucleotides long. The record is from RefSeq and is a predicted model, not a curated record. NCBI's taxonomy places the organism in Eukaryota, Metazoa, Chordata, Mammalia, Rodentia, Cricetidae.